GAAUGACAAUGUUGAGAAUUCUCUUGAUAGCUACCGCAAAGCCUUUGACGUUGUUUACCUGAAUGAUGCACCCAUGUGGGGAGUUGUAAAGCUUGUUUCACAACUCUGUCCAAGUGAUGGUCAUUGAG
Molecule: non-coding RNA, 128 nt
Organism: Prunus avium (sweet cherry)
Lineage: Eukaryota; Viridiplantae; Streptophyta; Magnoliopsida; Rosales; Rosaceae
Source: RefSeq, a predicted model, not a curated record